AGCUAAGUGUUAGAGGGUUUCCGCCCUUUAGUGCUGAAGUUAACGCAUUAAGCACUCCGCCUGGGGAGUACGGCCGCAAGGCUGAAACUCAAAGGAAUUGACGGGGGCCCGCACAAGCGGUGGAGCAUGUGGUUUAAUUCUAAGCAACGCGAAGAACCUUACCAGGUCUUGACAUCCUCUGACAACCCUAGAGAUAGGGCUUCUCCUUCGGGAGCAGAGUGACAGGUGGUGCAUGGUUGUCGUCAGCUCGUGUCGUGAGAUGUUGGGUUAAGUCCCGCAACGAGCGCAACCCUUGAUCUUAGUUGCCAUCAUUAAGUUGGGCACUCUAAGGUGACUGCCGGUGACAAACCGGAGGAAGGUGGGGAUGACGUCAAAUCAUCAUGCCCCUUAUGACCUGGGCUACACACGUGCUACAAUGGACGGUACAAAGAGCUGCAAGACCGCGAGGUGGAGCUAAUCUCAUAAAACCGUUCUCAGUUCGGAUUGUAGGCUGCAACUCGCCUACAUGAAGCUGGAAUCGCUAGUAAUCGCGGAUCAGCAUGCCGCGGUGAAUACGUUCCCGGGCCUUGUACACACCGCCCGUCACACCACGAGAGUUUGUAACACCCGAAGUCGGUGGGGUAACCUUUUUGAAG
RNAcentral lists this ribosomal RNA (635 nucleotides) under Bacillus sp. DUA4. RNAcentral's name for it is "bacterial SSU rRNA". It matches the Rfam family "Bacterial small subunit ribosomal RNA", at positions 814 to 1449 of the family's 1533-position model. Lineage: Bacteria; Bacillati; Bacillota; Bacilli; Caryophanales; Bacillaceae. The record is from RNAcentral.